Molecule: long non-coding RNA, 669 nt
Filed under: Olea europaea subsp. europaea
Lineage: Eukaryota; Viridiplantae; Streptophyta; Magnoliopsida; Lamiales; Oleaceae
Source: RNAcentral
AUAGGCAACUGGAAUAAGACCACAUUGGCUCAUUCAUAAUUUGAAGUUCGAAACUUGAGAGAAGACAACAUUGCCACAUGCUCUAAACUACUACAAACUGGAAUGGAAUUGCCACCACAUUACGUUACAUAAAAACAUUCCAUACUACACACUAAUACAACAAUUCAAGUUUCACAUUCCAAGUCCUUCUCAUCUGCCGAAACUCGUGUCCUCUUGCGCAUCUUUAUGUUCAGGGAAAUCUCCAAGUCCUUCUCAUCCGUUAACUUAGCCAGUGAUUUCAACAUGUGCGAUAAAUCAUCCACAUGCUCAACUUCAUUUGUAACACUUGACUCCCCAUCGUCAUGCAAUGUACAUUUUUCAUCGGGCUUAUUCUUACACCAUUUGAACAACUUGCAAUCGCGGGUACAACAAUGAAACAAUAGCCCUUUAUUUUCAUUGUUCUUUUCGACCUCCAUCCAUUUGACGAAUCCUACACCGCAGUUGGGGCAUCUUCUCUUUUUCGGGCAUUUCGACAUCAUAUGUCCCGGCAUUCUACAAGAAUGACAAAUUCCCCUAUUCUUUCCCGCCAUCCAAGUAUCCUGGUUCAGUCACAAUAAAGAACCAAUGAAUGGUGCAACAAAUUCAAUGUCUAAUUCAAAUUACAGGAGAAUUCUACAUUACACUUCAACU